CACCGCCCGUCACACUAUAGGAGCUGGCCAUGUUUGAAGUCAUUACCCUUAACCGUAAGGAGGGGGAUGCCUAAGGCUAGGCUUGCGACUGGAGUGAAGUCGUAACAAGGUAGCCAUACUGGAAGGUGCGGCUG
Molecule: ribosomal RNA, 134 nt
Filed under: Triticum dicoccoides
Lineage: Eukaryota; Viridiplantae; Streptophyta; Magnoliopsida; Poales; Poaceae
Description: rRNA SSU_rRNA_eukarya
Rfam family: Bacterial small subunit ribosomal RNA
Source: RNAcentral